UCACUGGCACAAGUGUUUUGACCUUCUUAUAAGUUGAAAGGCUAAGAGUUGGCCGAAGCUGAUGCCCCCGAAGGUUCGGGGUAGAGGUCUGGGCCGGGCCUGAGCGUGGAGUGUGUGUAAAUUAGCCCGGGACCCCAGCUCUUGUCGUGGGUCUCAUCUCCCUCCUGAGAAACCCAAAGGAUCUGAAUUAGUUUCUAAGAGACUGAGGUUCUCUGAUUUCUAAUUGCAUUAAUGAAGGCACAGCCCAGGACUGUAGGAGGUAGAACAAACCCUGGCAGUGUUCAUGGUGCUAGUUGUUGACCAGUGCCUCCACACUUCUUAUAGUGGCUCAAGAGAAACCCCUAGAGUCUUGAAAAGGCACAUAUCCAUCACUUGCCAAAAUUUUGUUAUCCUUCUUCCUCCUCCACUUCCAUUGUCACUUUAGGUUGGUUUCUACUAUUGUGGGUUAGUUUGCAAUUUCUAGAGUUUUAUAUAAAUGGAACCAUGCAGUGUGUUCUUUUUUGCUUCUUUCAGCAUAAUUAUUUUGAAAUUAAUUUAUAUUAAUAAUUAGCUCCCUUUUAUUGUUGAUUGUAUGGGCAUAUCUGUUUUAUGUCCUUCAUUCUCUUUAUCCAAUAGUUGUUCUUUUCCAGAUUGAAGCUAUAAAACUAUGUAAAAGUCUUUGUUCAUGUGUGCAUAUGCAUUCGUAUUUCUUGGAAUGUUGGAUCACAUUAUAGGUGUAUGAUUGUACUUUUUUUUUUUCCCUUUGAGAUGGGGUCUCCCUAUGUUGCUCACACUGGUCUUGAAUUCCUAGAUUCAAGUGAUCCCUCUGCCUCAGCGUCCUGUAACUGGGAAUCUAUAGGCAUACACCAUAGUGCUUGGAUGUUUUAAGUUUUUAUUAAGAGACUAUUAAACUGGGUGGGGCUGGGGAUGUAGCUCAGUGGUAAAGGACUUGCCUAGUGUGCCCAAUCCAGGUUGGUACCCAGAAGGACCAAAACCAAAAACAACUGAACAGUUUCCAAAGUGGUCCUACAAUUUUUUUUUUUCAUUUCCACUAGCAGUAUAAGAAUUCUAAUUGUUUCUCAUUGUUACCAGCAAAUAACUUCUCAAACCCUAAGAAACAAUCUUUUUGGCCA
This 1112-nucleotide long non-coding RNA is filed under the name Marmota monax (woodchuck). The record is from RNAcentral. Lineage: Eukaryota; Metazoa; Chordata; Mammalia; Rodentia; Sciuridae.